RNAcentral lists this ribosomal RNA (340 nucleotides) under uncultured bacterium. Its description in RNAcentral is "bacterial SSU rRNA". It matches the Rfam family "Bacterial small subunit ribosomal RNA", at positions 28 to 369 of the family's 1533-position model. The record is from RNAcentral.
GACGAACGCUGGCGGCGUGCUUAACACAUGCAAGUCGAGCGGUAAGGCCCUUUCGGGGGUACACGAGCGGCGAACGGGUGAGUAACACGUGGGUGACCUGCCUUUAGCUCUGGGAUAAGCCUGGGAAACUGGGUCUAAUACCGGAUAUGACUCCGCGGUGCAUGCUGUGGGGUGGAAAGCCUUGUGCGGCUGGAGAUGGGCCCGCGGCCUAUCAGCUUGUUGGUGGGGUGAUGGCCUACCAAGGCGACGACGGGUAGCCGGCCUGAGAGGGCGACCGGCCACACUGGGACUGAGACACGGCCCAGACUCCUACGGGAGGCAGCAGUGGGGAAUCUUGCGC